GUUCUAGAACAAGCAAAAGUAAACUAUGGUGACAGAAAGACAAAUUUCACAUGUUCUCAUUCAUGUGUGGGAGAAAUCUACCAUCUUGGCAGCUCUGGCAUAUCCUCUACCUUUUAUCUUUUUCAUCUGAGUUAAGAAAUCUACCAUCUUGGCAGCUCUGGCAUAUCGGGGAAUGCCAACUUGAGUUCAACUUCAGAAGACACAAUAGGCUUCCUGGAGGGAAUAUAGAAGACCUCAGGAUACACACUUGGCCACUGGAUUGAGAUUCUUGAAUGUUAGAAGAAAGAUCCAGCAGUUUCGCUGAAGAUCUCAAAAGGUGAUGAUGAUUCAUUAACAAGAUGGCUUGAAUUGUUUCAUCCAUCAGCCCUUCUCACUUCUUAGUUUUGGUUCAAUCUGCUUCUUCUGUCUAGAACGACUCAUUCAGCUUUAUCCAUCCUUCAAAUUUCAAUGCAAGCACCACUCUCUUCAAGAACCAUUCCAGACACCUUCUCCCUGCACUGUUGUGAGUAAUCUCAUCUUCCCCUGGAAUGAUGCUUGAUAUCCUAGUGGAUAUGAACUGUGUCUCAGCCAUCUCUACUGCUUUCAUUAUGGCAUAGUCUUCUGAACAUGAUACAAACUCAUCCCAUGUUUUUGAAAUGGAUAUAUUUAAGACAAAAAUGUUAAUAGCACCUCCAGGAUGCUGGUUUCCAGGAUGAAUAACUGCCAAUGCAAAAAUUAGCAAAGUCAAGUAUAAAUUGCCUACAAGAAAAAUACUGAGAAAUAAAGGUUAUAGCAUGCAGAAUAAACUGGAAUGCAAAUAAUCAAAGAUCAAAUAAAA
Molecule: long non-coding RNA, 817 nt
Organism: Pan troglodytes (chimpanzee)
Lineage: Eukaryota; Metazoa; Chordata; Mammalia; Primates; Hominidae
Exons: 3
Source: RefSeq, a predicted model, not a curated record